Long non-coding RNA from Panicum virgatum (switchgrass), 594 nucleotides. RefSeq lists it as uncharacterized. The transcript has 2 exons. NCBI's taxonomy places the organism in Eukaryota, Viridiplantae, Streptophyta, Magnoliopsida, Poales, Poaceae. The record is from RefSeq and is a predicted model, not a curated record.
ACCUUAAACUACAAGCAAGGAAACAUAGGAGCAUUCAAGGAAAACGAUAUGAACAUGCAGUAACAGCAGACUGAAGAAGAUCAAGUGAAGUAGUCCAGGGUGAGAAUCACAGUGCAGCUCUCCUCUGGCAUGGAGGCUGUGGAAACAAUAGAUAUUCGAUGUAAAUUCCAGCCUUUCCAUGCCAAAGGAGAGCUGCCCUGCCAUUCAGUAACCCUGCAACAGGAAUGCAUAAUCCCCAUAUAGUGGAGCUGUUCAAUUUUCAGUAGAACAUUGUCAAGUGUACUGCAUGAAGGUACGGUGGAGAGAUUAUUGCUAGCAGAUCUGGAGUGAUUGAAAGCCAGAGGCCCCUGACAAGAGUUGAAGCUAUGAUAAGAUGCAUGGGCUAACUGCAGAAGAAGAAAAGACAAGUGUUGAAGGCAGAAAUCAGAAUCACCAAGCAGAAAAGAAACCCAAACCAUUAUGUAGAAAUGACCUUUAAAUCUUCUCUUGAGGGACUGUCUUGUGUGUGGCGACCAUUUCUUGAUCCUAUUGUCCAACACUAUAACUUCGUAUGCAUAGAGAAUGCAAAAACUGCCAUCCUUAUUAGACUCCCCA